Molecule: long non-coding RNA, 3048 nt
Organism: Carassius gibelio (silver crucian carp)
Lineage: Eukaryota; Metazoa; Chordata; Actinopteri; Cypriniformes; Cyprinidae
Exons: 6
Source: RefSeq, a predicted model, not a curated record
AUUUACAAAACAAAUACACAAGUCUUAAGGCAAACCUGAGUUUGAGCAUAAGUAAUGCGAGCAAACUAAAGCACUCGACAAGACAGCCCAAACAUAAUCUACUUUUAUCUAACAACUUGGGCACAACAACAACAAAAAAACGGAAUAUUACCAAAAAUUAGUUAAAACACGUUCAUAAUGUAAAAUAGAAAAAGAAAAACCUACCAACUAUCACGUUUCAAUGUUUUUUAUACAGACAAAGACGCCAGGCGGAGCAGUAUGGAGCUCAACCUUUGUUUAAGCGUCGACAAAAUGGCGGAUCUGUCUCUAUUCCUGCACUACCGAGCAAACGUGUGCUAAGAGUGAUACGUUUAUAAAUGUUCAUCUGUAUUCUUCUUCUGAUGUUUUAGCUUCAGAUGUGGUUCCUUUCCCCUUUAAAAACUAGUCGCUGCUCAACUACAAAACAAUGGUGACUUAAUACAACUGAACGAAGCACUUAAGGUUAUUUAACAUCAUCCAGAUCUACUGACGUCAUGAAGAAUGUAUCACAUAUUAAGUUUCACAAAUUAACUUUCAAGAACCACUGCGGCCUGAAGCUCAGCCAGGAGAUAAUUUUUCUCACUCUCUUCGGACUAAUCACUCUAGGACUAAACACCCACAGUGCUGGAAGAGGUCUGCUUUCUGAAGAUGUGGAAGUACCUUCAGUGCUGGUUCUGUGGUGCAAAAAAAUGGUUCUCCUGUUGCAUCACUGUGGAUACCCGCUUUUAGAACCAUUUCCCCUUAUGAUAUGGCCGUUUUUUUUUAAACCAGACAAAAGUGCACAUAAACUUUCAAACUGCUGAUGGCUUCCAUUUCCAUGGCUGCAGUCAGCAAAUCGAAGGAUCUCCUGUCUGCGGAUGAGGAAGCAUCCUCAGUGCUGGAAGCGGAGCUCUGCUUUCCAUCUACGUCUUUUGCAGCCUGCAGAUCAACCUCUGGACGCAGAGGAAGAUGGAUCAGUAGAGAUGUCAGUUUGUGUGUCGGCAAUGGUUGUGUGAGUCUCGAGAGGACUCAUCUGUUUCGGUGGGGGACACACAAGGCAGAAUCAGAAGGCUGGGUGCAGAAAUGGAAAUUUGCACUACCAGGAAUAGGAAGAGGAGGAGGCUUUGGCACCAUCAGAAGGUAUACCGGCCAAGUCUACUACAUCUGCAGAAGAUAACAGAAACUUCCCCCAUUUCAUUUUUUUCUUCUUCUCUUUUUGCCUUUAUCCAUUGUAGCACAAUAAACAUCACUAACCAUUCUCUAGAUAGAAAAAUAACACCUGAACAUUGUUUGCACAAACAUUGCAACAAAAAUGUUGGUUUUCCAAUAGGCAAUAAGAAUUUAGCUUGAUAUGUGAGUUAUACUUACUCCUGAUCGCCAGCUAAUGGAAUACUUAAAACAGAAAACAAAAAGAGAGCUGAAUGAGAUAGAUAUGUACCUAGAACAACCCACUUGCAGAACUUUAUCUUGACAGGUAUUCCUAUGAUUCCUAAAUUAUUCCUAUAAUGUUGGAUCUUUUAUUGAAAGCGUUCUAUUUGUUGAGACAUGUCUUCACUUUUGUAGGCCUGUAAUUGCUGUGUUUGUGUUGAGAGGCCUGACGCGCGAAAGGGGCGUUUGCAAAUGUUGUUUGAGAACAUGCUUUUCAUAAUUGUAGUUCCAAAGCAAGGUGACACUAGCUCUGAAACUGUAUACCAAUUCAAUGCUAAUAAGCUUUCAUUCAUUUUUUAAAGCUAUAAUGUUGUCUAAAUGUAUGUGUAUUUCUGUCUACCAUGUAGGCUUUUUGUAUCUUCAGGAAAAGAUUAAACAAAGUAGCCAGGUUUAUUUUUUUUAAGCAUUUGAAAUAUUUAAAGCACCCCGAUUACCGUAUUUUCCAGACUAUAACUCACACUUUUUUUCAUAGUUUGGCUGGUUCUGCGACUUAGUCAGGUGCGAUUAUUUAUCAAAAUUAAUUUGACAUGGACCAAGAGAAAUGAACCAAGAGAUAACAUUACCGUCUAUAGCCGCGAGAGGGUGCUCUAUGCUGCUCAGUGCUCCUGUAGUCUACACUUAAGACAUAGAGCGCCCUCUCGCGGCUGGAGAUGGUAAUGUUUUCUCUUGGUUCUUAGCUCUAAAUAAAUGCGACUUAUAGUCCAGUGCGACUUAUAUAUGUUUUUUUCCUCAUCAUGACGUAUUUUUGGACUGAUGCGACUUACGGUAUGCACGAUACUCAUUUAGGAUGCAAGAUUAAAAGAAUUAAAUCACAGCAGCUAGCUACACAGGAUGCCAAAGGUGUCUGGGACUAAUAUAGUGAAAAGAGUAUUAAUCAGUGGUUGAAAUAUUUAAAUCAAGCCUAAAUCAUAUAGAAACAUAUGUGAAUAUACCACCUACUUGUGUCAGAUACAGUGAUUUAGUACAGUGCAUUGCAUUCUUUUGUCUGGGUACCUAUCAUGAACUAUACUUUAGUUUAGUACAUAUAAACAUAUAAGGCAUUUAGAUCUUCUUACAUGGGCAUUUAUAAAGGAGGCACUUGAUUUUAUUCACAAUUGCAUUGGUAUAAUCCAGGGGUGGUUAGUCCUGUCCUUUACACAUACGAGUUAAUGCUAUUCUGUGCAUUUUCACAAUAUUAUGUAAAGACACAGUGCCACAAAAACACUUUCUUGAGCUUGAAUUACAUUUGUUUUGUUUUAUGGACAUAGUCUGAACACUCACCUGCCUGCUGGGUUUGCACAAACCUUCUGCUUUGAUUUUUCUGUACACUAGAGGUCAGUAUCAGCCCUCGUAAGAACUUUAACAUGUCUCUUGUCUGUACUUUUCAGUUUUCUUUUUUUUUUAUUGAUAUUUAUGGUUCUAAGGUUUUUAUGAAACCUUUCCCAUGCACAAAAGGUUCUUUAUAGUGGAACAUGUUCUUUAGAUUAUUAAAAAAUUAUUUACACUAAGAAAAGGGUAUAUAUAUAUAUAACUCAAAGGUUCCUUGGAGAGGCACAGGAGAGUUUUUCCAUUUAAUUUAAUCAAUGAUUUAACAGUGCAAUAUAUUUUAAAGUUGCAAUUAAUUAAACUAUUAAAAAGACAAGA